RNAcentral lists this ribosomal RNA (464 nucleotides) under uncultured bacterium. RNAcentral describes it as "partial 16S ribosomal RNA". It matches the Rfam family "Bacterial small subunit ribosomal RNA", at positions 28 to 507 of the family's 1533-position model. The record is from RNAcentral.
GACGAACGCUGGCGGCGUGCUUAACACAUGCAAGUCGAACGGAAAGGCCCCUUUGGGGGUACUCGAGUGGCGAACGGGUGAGUAACACGUGAGUAACCUGCCCUUGACUUCGGGAUACUUCAGGAAACUGGGGCUAAUACCGGAUAGGAAUCCUUGCUGCAUGGUGGGGGUUGGAAAGCUUCGGCGGUUUUGGAUGGACUCGCGGCUUAUCAGCUUGUUGGUGGGGUAGUGGCUUACCAAGGCUUUGACGGGUAGCCGGCCUGAGAGGGCGACCGGCCACAUUGGGACUGAGAUACGGCCCAGACUCCUACGGGAGGCAGCAGUGGGGAAUAUUGCACAAUGGGCGGAAGCCUGAUGCAGCAACGCCGCGUGCGGGAUGACGGCCUUCGGGUUGUAAACCGCUUUCAGCAGGGGCGAAGCUUGUGGUGACGGUACCUGCAGAAGAAGCACCGGCUAACUACGUG